CGCCCGCCUGGCAGGACGCCUGAGCAAGGCUUUGGAAAACCAGAGAGAUUAGAGCAGUGAGUUGCGCUGGUCAUGUUGGAUACCUGCGCGUUAGGAGAUUCUGGAGCCAGACGGAGAGCCGAAUGGCCUUCGCCAGCCCUGCCCCUCUCUUGCUUCAGAAGCCCUCAGAAACUCCCCGGUCGGCGACCCAGCCCGAGCCGCCUGGGGUCCCAAGGGAAGCUGAACGCCUGAAUGGGGAAAUGGAGAGAGAACCUGAAAGAGCCCCAAACUCGAGGACCUAUUGCUCCCCAAGAAUAACAUCUUCCAGAACUAGACAGAAACUAGGCGUCUGGGAACCCUGAAAUCCUUGGAGGAGUAGCAUCAUCCUGACCCUCUGUGCUCCUUUUGGCAAAGGACUUGCUUCCAUUUUUUGUUUGUUCAAUUGGCUGUUUGUUAAAUAAAUAAAACUCUUUUCAUA
This 457-nucleotide long non-coding RNA is filed under the name Pongo abelii (Sumatran orangutan). RNAcentral's name for it is "lincRNA". Lineage: Eukaryota; Metazoa; Chordata; Mammalia; Primates; Hominidae. The record is from RNAcentral.